GUGAAAUGCGAGCCUGUUUAACGGAAAAACUCUCCUCGGAUGUGUCCUCCUUGAUGGGAUGGUUUCUCUUGUGACUUUCAACUUCCAACUCCUCUUUUACCACUGGAGUGUUAUCAGAGUAGCGCCGAAAGAUGAAAAAUUUGAAUGUGAUGGAUCAUUUAUGGAUUCCAACUACAACGGGCUGCGGCAAGGGCGUAAUCAGAACUGUGCUGGUCAAUCAGGACUACAAGGCGGCAGUCAUUCCCGUGGACUGUGCCAUCAUUGGCCUCAUCGUGAUUCCCUACGAGUUCAACAAGCAAGCCAAGCGACCCGCCCAGUUCCUGUAGCUCCUGUUUGGCCAAAAGAGAUUCAUCGCGAGAGUGUGAGUGAUCAUCCACAUACCAGAAUUCGUAGUGGAUGUCGUGUGCAAGACUGUCAUUGUGGGAUUGGACUCCAAUUUUGUAGUUGGAAUCGUUUGGUUUUCGUCGAGUUCACGGUAAAGUGAAUCCAGAAAUGAUGGAUUCUUUCAUCUUUCGGCGCUACUUUGAUAAAACUUCAGUGGUAAAAGAGAAGUUGGACGUUGAAAGUCACAAGAGAAACCAACCCACCAAGGAGGACACAUCCGAGGAGAGUUUUUCCGUUAAACAGAACGGUGGCUCGCCGGUCAAGAAACUUCCACGCGCGAUUCAACCACCGAUUACUAUGCGCCCAUUAAAACAGAGUCUGGCCGCAGGCGGUUACAUUCAGGAUCCGAGGCUUAUAUCAAAAGCGUACGGGCAUAUCUGGGCGGUAAAAUCAACACGGAGUCGAAGGCGCAAUCGAAGACGAAGCCAGCGUCAAUAUCAGAACCCGACAAUCCUGGCGACAGACUCUGGACCGCUCUUUGCGACGAGCAAAGCAAAAACGAGCAAAAAAAGAAUUCGAUUAUGAUUUGAGCCUACCUUUGGAGAACAGGUUCAAAGCCUGUUUCUCGCUGGGAAAUUUGUGUAAAAGAGUCAGCAACGAGUAAACUAUCUCAGAAAAGUGGCGGUGCUCAAAGUACAUUUCACCGAAAUCUCGUCCUGUUGUGGAGCUGUCCUGGUUGAGCAAUUUAAACUCUCGCGGGACUCAACUUCCAAACCAAAAAUACAGAAAUGGCCAUAUUUGUAUUUCGCUCUGUGCCCAGUAUGAUCAAAGUAGAACAAAGUAGAUGCUCUCUAGGUACACUGCUUUGUGUUUGUUUGCACAAUAAAACCCGUGGAAAAUUCCAUCCAAAUUUUGUAUGAACUCCGGAGUAGAAUGUUAUUGCAGAGUGGAUAUGGAGCUAAGCCAAAUCUAUCUUUCGCCACUAACCAUACAGUAUAAAGUACACUCCAUGCGCGAAGAAUUUGUUUAAAAAUAUUGUUGAGCAAUGCAUUACAAACGAUGCAUAUUGGUCCAAUGCUGCAAAUCCAUGCGCUUCUCAUAGGUAUGAAAAGAACACUUGGUAAAAGUGUGCUACAACAAACUUUAAAUGUGUCAAUGAAAAAUUGGAAUUAGGCAUUAAGCAAGGAGAAUUAAAUUCCCAGACGCAUAAUAAAGGUUGGCUUUUGUAAUUCGAUCAUUUUCACAAAAUGCUAACAUCCCAUCCCUUAUUAAAAA
Drosophila guanche is the source of this 1599-nucleotide long non-coding RNA. RefSeq lists it as uncharacterized. The transcript is spliced from 3 exons. The record is from RefSeq and is a predicted model, not a curated record. NCBI's taxonomy places the organism in Eukaryota, Metazoa, Arthropoda, Insecta, Diptera, Drosophilidae.